This 468-nucleotide ribosomal RNA is filed under the name uncultured bacterium. RNAcentral describes it as "partial 16S ribosomal RNA". It matches the Rfam family "Bacterial small subunit ribosomal RNA", at positions 28 to 507 of the family's 1533-position model. The record is from RNAcentral.
GACGAACGCUGGCGGCGUGCUUAACACAUGCAAGUCGAACGGAAAGGCCCUGAGUUUGUGGGGUGCUCGAGUGGCGAACGGGUGAGUAACACGUGAGUAACCUGCCCUUGACUUUGGGAUAACUUCAGGUAACUGGGGCUAAUAUCGGAUAGGAGCUCCUGCUGCAUGGUGGGGGUUGGAAAGUUUCGGCGGUUGGGGAUGGACUCGCGGCUUAUCAGCUUGUUGGUGGGGUAGUGGCUUACCAAGGCUUUGACGGGUAGCCGGCCUGAGAGGGUGACCGGCCACAUUGGGACUGAGAUACGGACCAGACUCCUACGGGAGGCAGUAGUGGCGAAUAUUGCACAAUGGGCGGAAGUCUGAUGCAGCAACGCCGCGUGCGGGAUGACGGCCUUCGGGUUGUAAACCGCUUUCGCCUGUGACGAAGCGUGAGUGACGGUAAUGGGUAAAGAAGCACCGGCUAACUACGUG